GGGUGACCGGCCACACUGGGACUGAGACACGGCCCAGACUCCUACGGGAGGCAGCAGUGGGGAAUAUUGCACAAUGGGCGCAAGCCUGAUGCAGCAACGCCGCGUGAGGGAUGACGGCCUUCGGGUUGUAAACCUCUUUUAGCAGGGAAGAAGCGAAAGUGACGGUACCUGCAGAAAAAGCGCCGGCUAACUACGUGCCAGCAGCCGCGGUAAUACGUAGGGCGCAAGCGUUAUCCGGAAUUAUUGGGCGUAAAGAGCUCGUAGGCGGUUUGUCGCGUCUGCUGUGAAAUCCGGAGGCUCAACCUCCGGCCUGCAGUGGGUACGGGCAGACUAGAGUGCGGUAGGGGAGAUUGGAAUUCCUGGUGUAGCGGUGGAAUGCGCAGAUA
RNAcentral lists this ribosomal RNA (386 nucleotides) under uncultured Microbacterium sp. RNAcentral describes it as "bacterial SSU rRNA". It matches the Rfam family "Bacterial small subunit ribosomal RNA", at positions 298 to 696 of the family's 1533-position model. Lineage: Bacteria; Bacillati; Actinomycetota; Actinomycetes; Micrococcales; Microbacteriaceae. The record is from RNAcentral.